RNAcentral lists this ribosomal RNA (698 nucleotides) under Bacillus sp. YIM 94061. Its description in RNAcentral is "bacterial SSU rRNA". It matches the Rfam family "Bacterial small subunit ribosomal RNA", at positions 57 to 737 of the family's 1533-position model. The record is from RNAcentral. Lineage: Bacteria; Bacillati; Bacillota; Bacilli; Caryophanales; Bacillaceae.
GCAAGUCGAGCGGACAGAUGGGAGCUUGCUCCCUGAUGUUAGCGGCGGACGGGUGAGUAACACGUGGGUAACCUGCCUGUAAGACUGGGAUAACUCCGGGAAACCGGGGCUAAUACCGGAUGCUUGUUUGAACCGCAUGGUUCAAACAUAAAAGGUGGCUUCGGCUACCACUUACAGAUGGACCCGCGGCGCAUUAGCUAGUUGGUGAGGUAAUGGCUCACCAAGGCAACGAUGCGUAGCCGACCUGAGAGGGUGAUCGGCCACACUGGGACUGAGACACGGCCCAGACUCCUACGGGAGGCAGCAGUAGGGAAUCUUCCGCAAUGGACGAAAGUCUGACGGAGCAACGCCGCGUGAGUGAUGAAGGUUUUCGGAUCGUAAAGCUCUGUUGUUAGGGAAGAACAAGUGCCGUUCAAAUAGGGCGGCACCUUGACGGUACCUAACCAGAAAGCCACGGCUAACUACGUGCCAGCAGCCGCGGUAAUACGUAGGUGGCAAGCGUUGUCCGGAAUUAUUGGGCGUAAAGGGCUCGCAGGCGGUUUCUUAAGUCUGAUGUGAAAGCCCCCGGCUCAACCGGGGAGGGUCAUUGGAAACUGGGGAACUUGAGUGCAGAAGAGGAGAGUGGAAUUCCACGUGUAGCGGUGAAAUGCGUAGAGAUGUGGAGGAACACCAGUGGCGAAGGCGACUCUCUGGUCUGU